ACCUGUGUCGUCCCCUCGCGUCUGGGCGGCUGCGCUGCUGUUGUGGUAGGACUGGAGUUGCUGAGACAAAGGAAAACCCACUCCCUUGGAGGAGCAUGACCUUUUCCUGUAAUUCUUCCCACUGCUGUUGUUGAGCUCCUUGGAUCCUGGCUCCUGGACACCAUCAUCAAGAAGACUUUAUGGAUGGGCUGUCCACCCACUGAGAGAAGAGGAGCAUCAGCUACAGUUUCUCUCUAGAUUGCCUUCUUCAUUUUGAGUAAUGACUGUCAGCAGGGUCAGAUUAAACACAAAACAACUGGACAAUUGCUUGGAGGACUAAACUAUAAGGGCACUAACAUGUCAAUAGUAGGCUAACACAUCCAUGGAAAAUAUAUUUACCAGCUCUUCUCUCAGGGAGGAUUCUGUGUGGGGUUGGAAGUAAUGAUUUGUUAAAUUCCUUAGGGGUAGAAAGUAGGGCAUAAUCAGAAUAUAGAGGAAUAUGCUGUUUGACUUCAGGGUUUCUGUUUUUCUUACUAGGAUAUAUAAAACAGGGACUCUAGCUAGAUUGUUUAUGACCACAGAGGGUAGGCUGAGUGCUCCCAUGAUCUUCCUGCUUGGUUCUUGCCCAUACAGAGGUCAGCCUUUCCUCUAAUAAAGAUUGAACAAGUAGUGGUCUGAGGGAGACACCAAUUCAUUACCCUACAUGUCUCUUCUCUGCACUCCAGGGCUUUGAUAAUAAAGACACUGGCAGACUAUCUAUCUUCCAUUUCUAUAAUGUGAGCCCUUAGGGAGUCUUCGUUCACUUGGGGGUGAGGGUCAUUGCUCACAGAGUAGUUCAAGUCAAAUGGAACUUGAACUCUUUGCCUAUGGGCCUGGUGGUCAGACUCUGUGUUGAGUUCAUUAGAUUAUUGGAGACACAAGGUAGAGCUGGAUGCUUCAAAAAUAUUUGGCUAAAGGAUGACAUUGCUGGUUAUUUGUAGAUAAAGCCAUGAUGGAACCUGCUUGGAAUCAUGAAAUAUGGAACUGGUGGUCAUGUUUAAAAAUACAACUAAUAGUUAAGUACCUACUGGACACUGUAGAGACUUAGGGGCUAGACAGACAUGGUUCCUGCCCCCUUGGAGCUUACACUGUAGCUUCCCCUUAGGUAUGAAGAACAGUGGCUACAACUAACAAAUGGCCACAAAGAUAUAAUUGAGCCAGUGUUCCAAUUAUUAGGGUAAUUCCUAUUUCCUUAAUCAUUCCUAUUGACCAUGUUCUAUAAGCCUGCAUUCUAUAAAUGGCGUAUGACCAUGGGCUGUUUCCCCCCAGCAAGUUGUACAAAGUUCUGUGGUACCAGGGAAAGGGCUUAAGGUUAGCAGGGCCUCUGCGGAAGGACAUAUGAAGUGACUUGGGUUAGGAAACAGGAAGGGAUAGGAUUCAAGAACAGCUAUUGCUUCUGUUCUAUAUAGGAAACUGCAGCGUGAAAAAUGCUGGGCUGGGAAUUUUGAGACCUGGGUUUUAGUUUGUGUUCUAAUACUAACAAGCUAUGUGACUGUGGGUAAGUCAUUUCACAUUCCAUUUGGAUGCCUCUUGAGUGACUCCAGGCCUCUCCAGCUCUAAAACAUUAAGAUCAGGCCCUACGCUACAGCUGGCCAGUGUGUAAUUCUUCUGUUUCUAUGCUGUUAGGUCAAAUAGAUCUUCAAUAGUUACUUGAUUGUUAUUACUUUUUUCUGAAGUGGGUGUUUUAUCAAUGUUUUAGGAUACAGUGAGUCUGCUUCUCCCCUUUGGAGUUAGGAAGGUUGUAGGAAUAUACACUGUAGAGCAUAUGGGAGCUUUAUCCCCUCCUUUUUUCCCCGCUACCUUUCUCCCUCUCCUUCCCUUCAUCACAUUUCUAUUGAGCAUAUGCCAUUGCCGUGUACCAGGUGUGUGCUAGGUUUGGAGAUACAAGGUAAACCUGAGACUUUCCCAGUCUCCAGGAGACAAAACCCUAAUUUCUUUCAUCUGCUGUCUUUCUCUUUGGAAAGAAUCAACGAUAUCCCAGGGGAAUGUGCCCAUGUCCCAGGGUAACCAACUACAGACAGAUGCCCCAUUCUACUCAAGCAACUUUUAGAGUGCCUUGAGAUACACAUCAGAUAAUUAUGCAGGGCCAGGCAUGGUGCUGCACACUUGUAAUCACAGCACUUUGGGAGGCCGAGGCAGCAGAUUGCUUGAGCCCAGGAAUUCAAGUGUAGCCUAGGGAACAUGGCAAAACCCCAGCUCUACAAAAAAAUACACAAAUUAGCUGCGUGUGGUGGCCUAUGACAGGAGGCUGAGAUGGGAGGAUUGCUUGAGCCUGUGAGGUCGAGGCUGCAGUGAGCCGAGAUCAUGCCAUUACUCCAGCCUGGGUGACAUAGGGAGACCCUGUCUUGAAAAAAAAAAAAAAAAGAUAAUUAUUCAGCCCUAGAGUCAUUGUGAAAAGAUCUAUCUUCAGAUAUAAGGAAGAAACAAUCUUUUAUUUCUUAGGAUAAAUCUGUAGAAGGACCUCCAGACAGUGAAGGCCACUGACUACUUUAUACUCUGUAAGCCAUCCCUCCCUGGUAGGAAGGACUAUUUCCAAUCUUACAGAGUACCUCUCAGCAAAUAGACGUUUUCACAUAUACUGUGAUUCAUACAUCCCUAUGGCUGGUGACCUCUUUAAAAAGGAAAGGAAAAAGCCUAAUCAAACAAAAAGAUGCUGCUAGUAAUUCUUACCCUAUUGUGAAUCCUAUAUAAGCAAAUUUGUAUCUUUGUUUUUUCCUACAUUAGCAGAUCUAUUUGAUGUAUAUCUCUGAGUGCAGAAAAUAUUUUAUGGAAAAAUCAAUAUAUGGAAUUUCAAAUUCAGAAUUGCUGAUACACACUAUUUGGUUUCACAAUUUUAUCCUAGGAAAUAGUAUUAGAGAUUUCAAUUUCUGGCUUAAAUGGUAGAAUUAAUUACUCUUAACUCUUAAUUUUACUUCUGAGUUGAGGUCAAGGAACAGGCAGACACCUGCAGUUAACGUCUAUACCUCUCCAUGGCCAAGAGUUUUAAUUUUCUCGUCUUCAAUUUUGUAGAUGUUCAUCAUUACUAAAUGGAUUGAUUAGUAUUUUAUCUCCUCUCCUUGUCCUUACUUUCCCUCUGGUAAAUAUGUUAUAAACAGUGUAAGGCUCCUAAGAUAGAGUAGCUGGUAGGACUUAGAAGAGAAACAAAGGGCACUGAUAACUCACAUAAAUGGAAAAUUGGCUCUGGAAUAACUGACAACAUAUUCAAGUAUUUUAGUGCAGUGUCACUCUCAUUAAGAAGAAGAGAAUCAGUAAAUCUAUGUGACUCUAAACAUUCUAAUGAAAAAAGGAAUAUUCUGCCAAUUAUCUCACAUUUCUAAAUAUCUGGAUAUUGGCCAUUGUAAAGACAAAACAUACAGAUGAUGGACUUGUCUUUCCACCUCUCAUUUGCAUGGUUUGGAGCAUUGUACCUCCAGCCAUAGACUCUAAGGCAAUUUAUAUUUGCUUCCUCUUCCCUCUUGAGAGAAAACGAAAAUCUUAUUUUUCCAAGCAAUUAAAACUCUUCUGCUUCAGCUAGGAUGAAAGAAUUAGGAGUUCUGUCUCCUUGUAUCUAAUUGCAUGUUUCAUCUUUCUUGUUUUAAUGAUUGACAGAAAACUAAUAAACUGAGACAUCUUUGAAUCCAGGUUGAAUGUACUCUCUUGGUGGCCCCAUUGCUAAUUUGUUUGACUAUUUUGCAGGAUUUCUUACUCUGUAAUGGAAAGGUUUAUUAAAUAUGAGGGGUGCAAAGCUUUCUGAAUACUAAUGAACUUAUUUGCCAAAAUUUAAAUGUUCUUCUUGUCAGUGAAUGUCUGUCUCUCUUAACAGGAUCCAAAUUGAAUAAUGAAGAAAAUUAGACUCUAUUGUACCCUCAGGAGAAAUCGUGGUGAAUCGUAAUAGAAUACAGAGGGGGAAAGGGGUCACAUUUUAGAAAAAAAGAGUAGAUAAUUUGGAUUAUUAAAAAAGGGAUUAACUCAGGAAAACUCUGUUCUUUUCAAAGAAACGUACUCAUAGUCAUUCAAUGAGCAGGAUUUCCCACUGCACAAGCAUCUAUACCUUUGGCCAGUGUAGAAAGAGAGUAAGGUCAUAAUCAUAUGGAGAUGCAUGCUAGGUUUCAGUAGUUACAAUUUACUAAUCUCAUUCCCAUAUAAGGCCUUUAUAUGCCUGUAAUGGAAUGGGAAAAUCAAUAAGCUUUGAAAAGGAACACUAUUCUUCAGAGAAGUUCAAUGGGAGAUAGUUGAGUUGGGGAAAUUGCCCCAGUUCUUCCUUUAAGCAUGAAAUGAGGCUGUCCCUAUGUAUGUUUACUUCCAUUGCCUUGGUGUUAUCACUGAUAAAGUCAAUGAUCAUGAUGCCUUUGCCUUGGCAGCACCUGGGGGGCACUGAAGGAACCAAGUAGCUGUACUCAUGGCCAGGAAGGCAGGCUGCCAGAACUUCAGCAGCCACACAAGUGGCCAAACAUGGUCAGGAACGAAAGUAGUGUGUGUAUGGAGUGAAAUGAAAUGAUGAGAGGAAAGUGAAGGAUGAUAUAAAGAUGGGGCUGUCCAAAGAUGGGAGUUCAUCCCUGUCCUGCACUUGAAAUAGGAAGGAAAGAACUGGAGAAGGAUUAGGUGAGGAAGGAUCCUGAAAUAGAGAAAAUAAAGGGAAGACUGCAUGCCUGCAGUGUUUGCUAAAAUUAAUUCGCCUGAGAUUUCAGGAGGAGCAAAGAAAGAUCAAGAGAAAGGGAAAACAGCCUCAAAGCCUGUGAAGGUUGAAAAACAAAAUAUAAACAAAAAAUUUUUAAAGCUAAGAUUAUGCUCUUCUAAGAAAAGAGGCUGGACACUAACAGAAAGCUUGAUGACAGCAGGAUUUGUAUUUAGCGGUUUAUUUAGAUCCCUAAGAAAAAAGGCUUAUGUGACAUAGAUUCAUAAGACACAAAUGUGUCCUUGGCUGACCAUACUAGGCUUCACUCCCAAAGGAGAAAAAGAAUGGUCGGCGCAUCUCAGAUUAACACCAACCAACUGUGCAAUAUUUCAUUUUAGAAAGCGUUUCCUUGUAUUAUCCAUGAUUAAAUAAAAAGAGACCUAGUGUAUUUGAUUGCUUCUGUGGCAAGGCUUGAGAAUUACAAACCUAGGUUUCCCUCUGGGAAUGAUCAUUGGAUUUUUAAAAUUAAGUAAGUGGAAGGAGAUUAAGAUUUAUUUCCAUCAUUUCAAAUCAUGAUCUGCACCUUUGGAAACAAAAAGGAAGUUGGAAAGUGGGAAGGUGAGGUAGGUGUGCAAGAAUGGGGAGAAAGAUGCUGCAAGCCAAAUAAGACUGUAUAAUUUCUGAGAAAAUUAAAUGAACAAUAGAGUUUGAAGGAUAAGUGGGUAAUGAGGAAUAUGAGAUAAUAAGAUAUUAAAAAAUAGCAAAUUACUUGGGAAAGUGAGGAUGAAUGAUGGUAGAUAGUUAAGGGAUUUGGGAUGGCAAGGAAGGGAAGAGAUGACUAGGGUGGGAAACAAAACAUGAUUAAUGGCUGUAAAAGGGCAAGUUUGGACUCUCGAUGGCAUAUCUUCCCAAACUUUGGAGAAUGUGCAGAACUUAGUAAUAAAGAAGGAAAAGAUUAAAAGAGUUCAUGGUUAACAUGAAAUUGUGAGGACAACAGAGGAAGCAAUAAAUGUCAUUAGUCCUCAGGAAUGAAAGCAUUUCUAGAGAAACGUACUAGUCUAUGUUCUUCAUUUAUGAGCAGAAUAGUUUUCAUCUACUUUUUAAUAAAAGGUUAAUGUAUAAAAUGAAUGCUAUUAAAGGAAAGAAAAGCUAAGCAUUAUCAGGAAAGUUGAAGAAAAGAUUGCACCUAGAACAACUGAAGUAAACCAGCAAACCUAUUUUACAGCCUUUUCUAUAAAAUUUUGAAAUUCAUCAUCUUAAUGAAAGAACUGGAAAUAGUUUUUCCAAAUAGAAAUGGGUAAUGAUAAGGGAGGAAGUUUUAACAGUUAGAAAUAUUAUAGAAUGCAUUCUUUUACAUUUUUUCCCCAUAAAAAUGAGAGGAAGCUAAAAAACUUAUGGGUAUAGCUUUAAAUACUUUGGAUAAGAAGAUUUAUAGCAAUGUAAGGUUAUUGUUAGUAGUAGAAAUAACAUUAAUUUUUUAAAAAUAUUAGUAUUUGGAGCAGGACUAAAUACCAGUGAUCAUCCUUUUUGGUUUCUUGUGUUUGUGUAGGAGAUUCCUUUCAGACAGACAGUACCAGACCUCCUUAGGAGGGAAGCUGAUAAAGUAAUUUAGGUGGAAAGGUUUAAUGAGAUAAUGAUGCUAAGGCCAGUUAACAUCUAAUAAGAACAUAAUCAUGAGGGAUGAUAUUGUUGCUUAUUAAUUAUAAUGAUGCAGAGGAAAGAGACAAGGUGGCACUCAUUUAGCAGAGAGUACUCAGGAGUAAGACCGUUAUCCCAAAGGGGAAGUGUUGCAGUCAGAGUUAGAAGUAGGUCAACAUUUAGCAGAGUUUGAAAUUUAUGGCCGUUGGGUUAUACUAGCAACCACAGAACUGAAGGCCAGGCAGGAGGUAACAGAUGCCUUUCUGAUGGUGGCCAGGGAUGGAGUGGAGACUGCUGUGGUUGCUGGGCCAUGCACGGAGGCAGACUCCAGGGUGAGUUUUGGGAGCUGUCUGCUUGCCUUAGAUUCCACAGUGGUCAUUCGUGGGCAGACAGGCAGGUGUCCAGAACUGGACUGGAUGUGCUUCCAGUUCUGUGACCUUCCCCUCCACUCCACUGGGUCGGGUGAGUCAGACCCAAGGAUAGCUAUUCAGUCAGUGUUGGCGCCCAGCUUUGUUGAGGGAGCCCAGAAGAUCCUUUGGUCCUGUUUUUAGAGGCGCAGACCUAACUGUUAUCAGUUGAAUUGCAUUUAUGAUUCCUUGGUAUUAGUCACUAACCACAUUCCGCUUCCUGAAUUCAUUGCGGGUCUGGUCACCUCCAUGUUUGCCUAGGAUGGCAGAAUUGUAGUAUAAAUUUAUUGCAGAUACACUAAUGUCCAUAUUAGUCAGGUGGGCAGGAAUAAAGAAUUCGAGGAAGAAACAGCCAUGUGAAAAAAACAUGGAGCUUUUGGAAAUCUUGUGACUCCUCAAGGGAGGCAUAGAAGCUUGAAACAGAGGACUAGCCUGGGGAAGUUAAUUUGGGGCUGGGUAAGGAAUAUAAAAACUCUACCCCUUAUUCAGCACCUUUUCCCAAUAUGGGUCUCUCUCUGAGUCCUGGAUCCUAGGCUAUUGCUGACUCCUUUCUUGGGUCUUUGGAUGCCACCUCUGCAAUGAUAGGGAGGGGUUUUCUAUACCUUCUUGUAUAGUUAAUUUUAUUAGCUGGAUGAGGAUCACUUCACAGGAUUUU
Molecule: long non-coding RNA, 7312 nt
Filed under: Homo sapiens (human)
Lineage: Eukaryota; Metazoa; Chordata; Mammalia; Primates; Hominidae
Description: non-protein coding DLX6-AS1:39
Source: RNAcentral